GACGUAGGGCGCGAGCGUUUGUCCGGAUUUAUUGGGCGUAAAGAGCUCGUAGGCGGCUUGUCGCGUCAUCCGUGAAAACCCAUGGCUCAACUGUGGGCUUGCGGUCGAUACGGGGCAGGCUGGAGUUCGGUAGGGGGAGACUGGAAUUCCUGGUGUAGCGGUGGAAUGCGCAGAUAUCAGGAGGAACACCGGUGGCGAAGGCGGGGUCUCUGGGCAGUAACUGACGCUGAGGAGCGAAAGCGUGGGGAGCGAACAGG
Molecule: ribosomal RNA, 257 nt
Filed under: uncultured bacterium
Lineage: Bacteria
Description: partial 16S ribosomal RNA
Rfam family: Bacterial small subunit ribosomal RNA
Source: RNAcentral